UACGUAGGGGGCAAGCGUUGUCCGGAUUUAUUGGGCGUAAAGAGCUCGUAGGCGGCUUGGUAAGUCGGAUGUGAAAUCUCCAGGCUCAACCUGGAGGGGUCAUUCGAUACUGCCAUGACUAGAGUUCGGUAGGGGAGUGUGGAAUUCCUGGUGGAGCGGUGAAAUGCGCAGAGAUCAGGAGGAACACCCGUAGCGAAGGCGGCACUCUGGGCCGAUACUGACGCUGAGGAGCGAAAGCGUGGGGAGCGAACAGG
This 254-nucleotide ribosomal RNA is filed under the name uncultured bacterium. RNAcentral describes it as "partial 16S ribosomal RNA". It matches the Rfam family "Bacterial small subunit ribosomal RNA", at positions 524 to 776 of the family's 1533-position model. The record is from RNAcentral.